This 309-nucleotide unclassified non-coding RNA is filed under the name plant metagenome. RNAcentral's name for it is "partial contains 5.8S ribosomal RNA, internal transcribed spacer 2, and large subunit ribosomal RNA". The stretch from base 1 to 104 matches the Rfam family "5.8S ribosomal RNA", at positions 51 to 154 of the family's 154-position model. The record is from RNAcentral.
AAAUGCGAUAAGUAGUGUGCAUUGCAGAAUUCAGUGAAUCAUCGAAUCUUUGAACGCACAUUGCGCCCCUUGGUAUUCCAUGGGGCAUGCCUGUUCGAGCGUCAUUUGUACCCUCAAGCUCUGCUUGGUGUUGGGUGUUUGUCCCCGUCUCCGCGCGUGGACUCGCCCCAAAGUGAUUGGCAGCCGGCGUACUGGUCCCGGAGCGCAGCACAUGUCGCGCAAACGAGUGCCUUGGUACGGCGGCGUCCAUAAGCCCCUCUCUCACGCUCUUGACCUCGGAUCAGGUAGGGAUACCCGCUGAACUUAAGC